CCUACGGGAGGCAGCAGUGGGGAAUAUUGCACAAUGGGGGAAACCCUGAUGCAGCGACGCCGCGUGAGUGAAGAAGUAUUUCGGUACGUAAAGCUCUAUCAGCAGGGAAGAAAAUGACGGUACCUGACUAAGAAGCCCCGGCUAACUACGUGCCAGCAGCCGCGGUAAUACGUAGGGGGCAAGCGUUAUCCGGAUUUACUGGGUGUAAAGGGAGCGUAGACGGCAGCGCAAGUCUGGAGUGAAAUCCCAUGGCUUAACCAUGGAACUGCGUUGGAAACUGUGCAGCUAGAGUGCAGGAGAGGGAAGCGGAAUUCCUAGUGUAGCGGUGAAAUGCGUAGAUAUUAGGAGGAACACCAGUGGCGAAGGCGGCUUACUGGACUGUAACUGACGUUGAGGCUCGAAAGCGUGGGGAGCAAACAGGAUUAGAUACCCCAGUAGUC
RNAcentral lists this ribosomal RNA (440 nucleotides) under uncultured bacterium. Its description in RNAcentral is "partial 16S ribosomal RNA". It matches the Rfam family "Bacterial small subunit ribosomal RNA", at positions 338 to 795 of the family's 1533-position model. The record is from RNAcentral.